GACGAACGCUGGCGGCGUGCCUAACACAUGCAAGUCACGGGGGUAGCAAUACCAACCGGCGAACGGGUGAGCAACACGUGAGCAAUCUGCCGAUCUCUGGGGGAUAGCCGGCCCAACGGCCGGGUAAUACCGCAUACGCUCAUCGGGGGACAUCCCCUGGUGAGGAAACCUCCGGGGGAGAUCGAGGAGCUCGCGUCCUAUCAGCUAGUUGGCGGGGUAACGGCCCACCAAGGCGACGACGGGUAGCUGGUCUGAGAGGAUGGCCAGCCACAUUGGGACUGCGACACGGCCCAGACUCCUACGGGAGGCAGCAGUGGGGAAUAUUGCGCAAUGGACGAAAGUCUGACGCAGCGACGCCGCGUGUGGGAUGAAGCUCUUCGGGGUGUAAAACCACUGUUGCCCCGAGACGAACCUCCCUUUUUCGAGGGGACUGACGGUAUCGGGUGAGGAAGCACCGGCUAACUCUGUGCCAGCAGCCGCGGUAAUACAGAGGGUGCGAGCGUGUCCGGAAUCACUGGGCGUAAAGGGCGCGUAGGUGGCUUGUUAAGCGUGUGUGAAAGCCGGGGCUCAACCCGGUCUGCGUGCGAACUGGCGAGCUUGAGC
This 603-nucleotide ribosomal RNA is filed under the name uncultured bacterium. RNAcentral describes it as "bacterial SSU rRNA". It matches the Rfam family "Bacterial small subunit ribosomal RNA", at positions 28 to 647 of the family's 1533-position model. The record is from RNAcentral.